RNAcentral lists this long non-coding RNA (324 nucleotides) under Manihot esculenta (cassava). Its description in RNAcentral is "long non-coding RNA (MESC_LNC002454)". The record is from RNAcentral. Lineage: Eukaryota; Viridiplantae; Streptophyta; Magnoliopsida; Malpighiales; Euphorbiaceae.
CCUCUCCUAACCCGAUAUUGAGUCUAUGAAUAUUUUUGUUUGUUGUUGGCAGCGACUAAGAUUGUUAGUGGACUUUGUUUUUUUGAGCUGCAUGCUCUAUCUCCUAAAGCCAAGAAGGGUUUUUUUUUCUCUUGUUAUUUUCUUAUUGUAAUUUUCUAUAUUUCUUUCUCAAGGAUUUGAAGGUGGAGGACAGAUCUGAAUGCCUCACCAGUGUUUACAAAGGUUUGGAGGCGGUAGUUGUUAAAUACAAAUAGACAUUGGAAGGUAAUAUGUUAUUAAAACCUUGUGGGCAAACAAUACAAGGAUGGUUUGGCUAAUUAUGGG